AAAGCUGCCCAACUAGAAACCCCAAAAGGCAAGAGAACUACGAUACCCACAAUUCAGGCUCCUCACCCGAAACCAGAAGAGGGCGUAUGGCUAGAGUUUCACCCUAAGAAGAAAGGGGAAGCAGGUGGAAAAGCAAUUAAAAAAAAAUCAGCAUCUCUCUCUAGCCUAUUAUCUCCUGUUAGACACAGCCCAGAAAAUGAAUAGAGACAAGUCCUGGCUGGGUCUGGGUUCAGAAACAUAAUAGAAGGAUUCAUCUAAAGAUAACACGCAAGGAAAUACGGGCCAACUCUUCACAUGAGCACAAGAUAUUUCCAUGCUAGCCUUUUGCAAGUAACAACAGAGAGAGCUCUGUGCAGUUUUCACUGGAAUGCCUAUGGAUUGCUUGUGUCAUAACUGUAAUCUAAAGAGUUGUCCAUUUGUUGAUUCCUUUGUGUUUGUAUUGGUAGAAUUGCCACUAUCAAACCAAGAUCUUUAGCUGUCUUUGUAUCAACUUCUUUGGAGCUUAUGUGAUUUUCCAGAAAAUUUCCAAGGCAUAGUUUUGUCCCUAAGUCCCAUGAAUAUGUAAUAUUUUGUGUCUCUCUAUUAAAAUAGCACUUUUUGUGCAUUCC
Molecule: long non-coding RNA, 608 nt
Filed under: Pan troglodytes (chimpanzee)
Lineage: Eukaryota; Metazoa; Chordata; Mammalia; Primates; Hominidae
Description: long non-coding RNA NONPTRT015500
Source: RNAcentral